GUAUUCGCUUCGGCAGUACAUAUACUAAAAUUGGAACGAUACAGAAAAGAUUAGAAUGGCCCCUGCGAAAUGAUCAUCAUCAUCAUCAUUACAGGCUAUACAGUCCA
Molecule: small nuclear RNA, 107 nt
Organism: Melitaea cinxia (Glanville fritillary)
Lineage: Eukaryota; Metazoa; Arthropoda; Insecta; Lepidoptera; Nymphalidae
Source: RefSeq, a predicted model, not a curated record